RNAcentral lists this ribosomal RNA (424 nucleotides) under Verrucomicrobiota bacterium. RNAcentral's name for it is "Verrucomicrobia bacterium partial 16S ribosomal RNA". It matches the Rfam family "Bacterial small subunit ribosomal RNA", at positions 355 to 776 of the family's 1533-position model. Lineage: Bacteria; Pseudomonadati; Verrucomicrobiota. The record is from RNAcentral.
UGAGGAAUAUUGGUCAAUGGGCGAGAGCCUGAACCAGCCAAGUAGCGUGCAGGAUGACGGCCCUAUGGGUUGUAAACUGCUUUUAUAUGGGAAUAAAGUGAGGGACGUGUCCCUUAUUGCAUGUACCAUACGAAUAAGGACAGGCUAAUUCCGUGCCAGCAGCCGCGGUAAUACGGAAGGUCCAGGCGUUAUCCGGAUUUAUUGGGUUUAAAGGGAGCGUAGGCUGUUUGUUAAGCGUGUUGUGAAAUGUAAGAGCCCAACUUUUAGAUUGCAGCGCGAACUGGCAGACUUGAGUGCGCACAACGUAGGCGGAAUUCAUGGUGUAGCGGUGAAAUGCUUAGAUAUCAUGACGAACUCCGAUUGCGAAGGCAGCUUACGGGAGCGCAACUGACGCUAAAGCUCGAAGGUGCGGGUAUCGAACAGG